This 494-nucleotide ribosomal RNA is filed under the name uncultured bacterium. Its description in RNAcentral is "partial 16S ribosomal RNA". It matches the Rfam family "Bacterial small subunit ribosomal RNA", at positions 28 to 507 of the family's 1533-position model. The record is from RNAcentral.
GACGAACGCUGGCGGCGCGCUUAACACAUGCAAGUCGAACGGAAAGGCCUGCUUUCCCUUGUGGAUUGCGGGUACUCGAGUGGCUAACGGGUGAGUAACACGUGAGUGAUCUGCCCCCAACUUGGGUAUAAGCCUGUGAAACUGGGUCUAAUUCCCGAUAGGACUGCAGGGUGGUGCCUGUGGUGGAAAACGAUUUUCUAGUGGUUGGGGAUGAGCUCGCGGCCUAUCAGCUUGUUGGUGGGGUAAUGGCCUACCAAGGCGGCGACGGGUAGCCAGACUGAGAGGGUGGACGGCGACAUUGGGACUGGGAUACGGCCCAGACGCCUACGGGAGGCAGCAGUGGGGAAUAUUGGACAAUGGGCGGAAGCCUGAUGCAGCGACGGCGCGUGGGGGAUGACGGCCUUCGGGUUGUAAACUCCUUUCGACCGCGAGGAAGCCACCUGGUUGGAAGGGUGGUGACGGUAGUGGUAGAAGAAGCACCGGCUAACUACGUG